RNAcentral lists this ribosomal RNA (253 nucleotides) under uncultured bacterium. RNAcentral's name for it is "partial 16S ribosomal RNA". It matches the Rfam family "Bacterial small subunit ribosomal RNA", at positions 524 to 776 of the family's 1533-position model. The record is from RNAcentral.
UACGUAGGGUGCAAGCGUUGUCCGGAAUUAUUGGGCGUAAAGAGCUCGUAGGCGGUCUGUCGCGUCUGCUGUGAAAACUCGGGGCUUAACCCCGGGCCUGCAGUGGGUACGGGCAGACUAGAGUGCGGUAGGGGAGACUGGAAUUCCUGGUGUAGCGGUGAAAUGCGCAGAUAUCAGGAGGAACACCGGUGGCGAAGGCGGCACUCUGGGACGGUACUGACGCUGAGACGCGAAAGCGUGGGGAGCGAACAGG